This 480-nucleotide ribosomal RNA is filed under the name Pseudomonas aeruginosa. RNAcentral describes it as "bacterial SSU rRNA". It matches the Rfam family "Bacterial small subunit ribosomal RNA", at positions 30 to 504 of the family's 1533-position model. Lineage: Bacteria; Pseudomonadati; Pseudomonadota; Gammaproteobacteria; Pseudomonadales; Pseudomonadaceae. The record is from RNAcentral. RNAcentral also lists the same sequence under 1 other name.
UUGAACGCUGGCGGCAGGCCUAACACAUGCAAGUCGAGCGGAUGAAGGGAGCUUGCUCCUGGAUUCAGCGGCGGACGGGUGAGUAAUGCCUAGGAAUCUGCCUGGUAGUGGGGGAUAACGUCCGGAAACGGGCGCUAAUACCGCAUACGUCCUGAGGGAGAAAGUGGGGGAUCUUCGGACCUCACGCUAUCAGAUGAGCCUAGGUCGGAUUAGCUAGUUGGUGGGGUAAAGGCCUACCAAGGCGACGAUCCGUAACUGGUCUGAGAGGAUGAUCAGUCACACUGGAACUGAGACACGGUCCAGACUCCUACGGGAGGCAGCAGUGGGGAAUAUUGGACAAUGGGCGAAAGCCUGAUCCAGCCAUGCCGCGUGUGUGAAGAAGGUCUUCGGAUUGUAAAGCACUUUAAGUUGGGAGGAAGGGCAGUAAGUUAAUACCUUGCUGUUUUGACGUUACCAACAGAAUAAGCACCGGCUAACUUC